AAAUUCGGAAUCUCCAAAUUGUCUGUACUGUACGAUCAACAAAGUUACACUACUUGGACAAUCCUAACACGAUUUAGUUAAUGCAAUUAUAUCCUAACACGAUAUAAUUGUAUUAACUAUUUGUGGAGAAGCCAAGUCGUGCAUGUCUUCUGUGAAACAACAAAACUGGAGCUUGGCCACCACGCGGCGUCGGUACUUUAUUCUAUAGCCAGGCACCAACGUAAGGACAAAACAUUUCACAACUAAAGCCCUCAAUUACAUACUGUUGAAAAAUAUUAUAUUUUCCUUAUUAGUAUAGGAAUAAGUUUCAAUAUUUUUCCUUAUUAGUAUAGGAAUAGUAAUAAGAGUUUUCCUAGUUGAGGAAGGAUUCUCCUAUCCUAACUCUAUAUAAACCCAUGUACCCCUUAUGUAAUCUCAUAUAUCAUAAUACCAUUGAAAACUUCCUCUCAUAAAUUCAAUAUGGUAUCAGAGCCGCCGGCUAUAUCUUCCGCUGUCGUCGGUGUUAAUCUCACCGUUGGUUCAUCAUGACCACGGACGACGAGAUUGUUUCACCUUCUUCCUUUCCUAAACACUCGUCUUCUUCCACCAUUCAUCUUUCUUCUGUCGUCUCCGAAAUUGAGAUGGCAGCCAACAACUACAACAACAAUUUCGGAUCUGAACCAGGCUCUGGAGGAGUUUCCAUUAGGAAAUUCAAUGGUAACAACUACCUCCAAUGGUCUCAGUCAGUCCGGAUGUUCAUCACUGGGAAACAGAAAGGGGAAUAUCUUACUGGUAUUGCAAGCAAACCAGAAGAAUCCGACUCAGCUGCCUUCACCAAGUGGGACAAUGAUGACAAUCAAGUUCGGUUCUGGCUUAUCUCAACGAUGGAACCAGAUAUCGGCGACAACUAUCUUCUACAUCAAUCUGCAAAGGAGCUUUGGGAUGAUGUGAAAGAAACCUACUCCACGCAGGACAACUCAUCUGCUUUGUUCGAAAUUGAGUCCAGACUCUACAAUUUCAAGCAAGGUAACUUGAGUGCAACGGAGUACUACAAUCGGCUGGUGCGAACCUGGCUUCAACUUGAUUUGUAUGAAGCUCAGAAGUGGGAUACUCCGAAUGAUGCAAAAACAUUCCGGACAUUCAUGGACAAGAAGAGGACAGUUCAACUGCUUCUUGGACUAAAUCAAGACCUAGAUGCUGUGAAAAGCAGGGUUAUGGGAACGAAACCCUUUCCAAGUCUGAAGGAGGCGUUUGCUGAGGUUUUGAGAGAAGAAGGUCGGCGUCAUCUGAUGGUUACAGAGACGAAGACAACCUCUGAACCCAGCAGUUCAGCCCUGAAAACUGAGACCUCAACCACAGCUCUCUUUGUUAAGAACAACCAUGCCAAAGGGAAACAGAAUCCUACUUCUGCUGCCUCUUCAAAAUGGUGUGAUCUCUGUCAACGACCCUUUCAUACGAAAGAGGAGUGCUGGGAAAUAGUUGGUGGACCACAAGGAUGGAGACCCAGACUGAACUUGAAUAAGCAGAAGUCUCGUGCGAACGCAGCUGCCACCAAAACUGAUGAUACGACACAGUUUUCAGCUGGUCAGUUGGAGACUCUGAAGAAAAUGUUUGCACAAAUCAUGAAUACUGAGAAAGCCGACCCCAAGAAAUCUUACAUGUCUAGUAUGUUCGACAAAAAAGGUACUUCGGCUGCUUACACUUCUAGUCAAAAUUCUCAGAAUAUUUGGAUCCUUGAUUCCGGAGCUACAGACAAUAUGACUGGUUGUAAGGAGUUGAUAGAACACUUAAAACCUUACCCUAGAACCUCAGGUGUCCGGAUUGCCGAUGGAUCAAUAGCACCGGUGGAAGGAAUAGGCAUUGUUAGGGUUACUAAGGAUCUUACUCUAUGUCCAGUACUUUAUGUGCCUAAACUUGACUGCAAUCUUCUCUCUAUUCAUCAAGUAACACAUGAUCUUCAGUGUGAAGCUAAGUUUCGCUCUCCCGAUUGUGUGUUACAGGAGGUGAAGACUGGGAAAAUGCUUGGAAGUGGUGAAAUGCGUAAUGGUCUCUACUUGUUGAAGGGAACUCAGGAUGAGGCUAGUUCCAGUAAAGCCCAUAGUAGUAUUAGUGCUAAUGUUGUUUCUAGUAUUGAACACAUUGAGAAUGAAGCCAUGUUAUGGCACUUCCGUCUUGGUCAUCCCAGUUUUACUUAUCUUGAAAAGUUGCUACCUGCACUAUUUCAGAAUAAAGGUUCAAAGGAUUUGAGAUGUGAUGUGUGUCAACUUGCGAAGCAUACGCGUUCUUCCUAUCCUAGAAUCGGCUAUCGACCUACCACACCUCUUAGUGUAGUUCAUAGCGAUAUCUGGGGACCUAUGAAAGUCAAGAACAUCUGUUUAUAGGCUACUCUUUAACCCAGAAGGGCUAUAGGUGCUACCAUCCUCCGACCAAACGAGUUUACACCACUCGGGAUGCUACCUUUUUUGAAUCACAGACCUACUUUCCUACUACUGUGAUUCAGGGGGAGCAAACAAAUAAUGAUGACAGUCAUACCCUCGUGGAUACGAUUUGUUUAGAGGAAGAGGACACUCCAUCCGAAGUUGUGAGUCAGAGGGAGCUCCCAACUGAUGUUGUAAGUCAGGGGGAGUCUCAAAUGUCAUCAGCGGAAUCAUUAGAAAAACCUCUUCUUGUUUAUCAAAGAAGAAAGAAUAUUGUGAUUGAAGAUGAUACUCUUGAGACAGAAAAUAGUGGAGGGGGAGUUACGAAUGCUGAUCGAGAAGUGAUAGUUGAAGAUGUUGAAGAAGAGGGUGAUGAUUUGAGUGAUCUAGAGGUUCCUAUUGCUCUAAGGAAAGGUAUAAGAAAUUGCACAAAAUAUCCGAUUGCUCGACAAAUCAGCUAUGAUGGUCUUAGCAAUUCUCACAGAGCAUUUAUAUCUGCUCUUGACGAGGAACAAAUACCUAAGAAUAUUGAAGAAGCUAUGAAACAUCCAAAAUGGAGAAGUGCUGUCAUGGAGGAGUUACGAGCUUUGGAGAAAAAUAAUACGUGGGACAUUGUCUCCCUUCCGAAUGGAAAGAACACAGUUGAUUGUAAGUGGAUCUUCACCAUUAAAUAUAGAGCAGACGGAUCGAUUGAAAGAUAUAAAGCUAGGCUGGUGGCUAGAGGUUUCACCCAAGCAUACGGCGUGGAUUAUGAUGAAACCUUUGCACCAGUGGCAAAGCUCAACAGUAUAAGGGUGUUGUUUUCUCUGGCAGCAAACCUGGACUGGCCGUUACAUCAACUUGAUGUGAAGAAUGCCUUUCUUAACGGAGAACUUGAAGAAGAGGUCUAUAUGGUGUUUCCUCCGGGAGUGAAAAAUCCGAGAGAAGGGGAAGUUUGUAAGCUUCGCAAGGCCUUGUACGGGUUGAAACAAUCUCCCCGAGCCUGGUUUGACAGAUUUACCAAGGCUGUGAAGCAAGGAGGAUACUACCAAUGUCAGACCGAUCACACCUUAUUUGUGAAGCACUCACCUACAGGGAAGAUCUCCAUCCUCAUUGUGUACGUGGAUGAUAUUAUAAUCACUGGAGACGAUGUAGAAGAAAUUAAGAGACUCAAGGAUCAACUGGCAAAAGAGUUCGAACUCAAAGACUUGGGAAACCUUAAAUACUUCCUAGGAAUGGAAGUUUCGAGAUCUCAGAAAGGUAUCGUAAUCUCUCAACGAAAAUAUGUUUUGGACUUACUAAAGGAAGUGGGAAUGCUUGACUGUAAGCCUAUCGACACUCCCAUGGAGUCGAAUAAAACUCUUAGCAGGGAGGAGGAUAUUCCUGCAGUUGAAAAAGGUCGGUAUCAACGAUUGGUUGGGAAACUGAUUUAUUUAGCUCACACUCGACCCGAUAUAGCUUUUGCAGUUGGGAUUGUCAGCCAGCACAUGCACUGUCCUAAUGAAGAACAUAUGGGAAUGGUUUACAGAAUCCUAAGGUACUUGAAGAGUUCACCUGGAAAGGGAAUCUAUUUCAAGAGAACUGCUCAACGGGGAAUUACUGUCUAUACUGAUGCAAGUUGGGCUGGUGAACUCACAGAUCGAAGGUCUACAACUGGUUAUUGUAGUUAUGUCUGGGGAAAUCUUGUGACAUGGCGAAGUAAGAAACAAAAGGUUGUGGCUAGAAGCAGUGCAGAGGCUGAGUACCGAGCUCUCGCACUUGGAAUAUGUGAGAGUAUCUGGUUGAAGCGCAUCAUGAAUGAGCUGAAGAUUGAGAUCGAUGGUCCUAUCCAGUUUCUGUGUGAUAGCCAAGCAGCAAUCAGCAUAGUCCGCAACCCUGUUCAUCAUGAUCGAACUAAACAUGUGGAGGUAGAUCGUCAUUUUAUAACUGAAAAUGUUAGUUCUGGUGUGGUUCGAGUGGAAUAUGUUCCUACGAAGCAACAGACUGCAGAUGUUUUUACGAAGCCUCUUUCAAGAGAUGUGUUUGACCACUUACUGUCCAAGCUUGGGUUAAUUAACAUCUACACCAAGCUUGAGGGGGAGUGUUGAAAAAUAUUAUAUUUUCCUUAUUAGUAUAGGAAUAAGUUUCAAUAUUUUUCCUUAUUAGUAUAGGAAUAGUAAUAAGAGUUUUCCUAGUUGAGGAAGGAUUCUCCUAUCCUAACUCUAUAUAAACCCAUGUACCCCUUAUGUAAUCUCAUAUAUCAUAAUACCAUUGAAAACUUCCUCUCAUAAAUUCAAUACAUACCAAAGAUUCAACUGCUCUGUUGACAAAUUGCACAAUCUCACCCAGCAAUGUAGACCGUCCAUAAACAAAACCUCUGCAACAAACCACAAAGUAAACUCCACUUCAUUAAACAAGCGAAUCAUCUUCACUUCGCUGGAACAACAAAAACCACCAUCUCGCUCUUUCCUUUCUUCAGUGCUGCCUUUUUCUUUCCAAGUUGAUGAUCAUCAGUUCUUGAAACACCAACCACACUUUGGUUGCUUAACUGCUCCAAAAACUUUCCUAACCCUUGAAAUCUCCAGAAACAAUUGGUUUGGCCAUCAUAUCUUGAAAGAUUCACAAUUGAAUCAUGUUCAAAACAGUAUAUAAUGCAUCGAUACUAUCCGAUGGACCAUGAGAAAUCGAUUAUAACCUGAAGAAGAAACUCAAAACUAAUGUUUUCAGAACAAUUGUACCUGAGAUGGUGUUAUGAGUUUCAAAACUAAUGUAUUCUAACUACCAACUAUGAUGAAUCCAUGCUCUCUAAGCGUUUAACACAACAAAAAUUGUGUGCAUUCUAUAUCUAUCUCGAAUUCGGAGGACUUGGAGCUUAAAUUGAGCCGUAUCUUACAGUGCCGGGCCUCCAGUUUCCUUGAGCUGGAGCUGAAGAAGCUGCAGAUCCAGAUGCAGAUGCCGAUGCCGAUACAAAAGUCCGAUCCCAGGAGGCGUCACUAGCAUAGCCACUAUUUACCUCGUCUGCUCGCGAGUAGGCAUAACCUUGCCC
This 5400-nucleotide long non-coding RNA is filed under the name Linum usitatissimum (flax). Its description in RNAcentral is "long non-coding RNA (LUSI_LNC004579)". The record is from RNAcentral. Lineage: Eukaryota; Viridiplantae; Streptophyta; Magnoliopsida; Malpighiales; Linaceae.